Theobroma umbraticum is the source of this 748-nucleotide long non-coding RNA. RefSeq lists it as uncharacterized. Lineage: Eukaryota; Viridiplantae; Streptophyta; Magnoliopsida; Malvales; Malvaceae. The record is from RefSeq and is a predicted model, not a curated record.
CUCCUGCAGAUAUUUCCUUUUUUUUGUUGCGAAGAAAAUUGCCUGCAGAAUUGUCAUGUUUCUCCCUAGACAUGUAGAUCUCAACCAAUUGGCAGAAUUAUCUCUAUCUGCACAGCCUCCUUGGUCAUUAGAGGUUGAGAAAAACUUUUUGAAUGGAAAGCUGAAGGCAAUAACUGCUUACUUCACGGAGACGGCAGUCAGAGGACAAUAAAUCAGCAUACUUGUGUGGAGCAGUGAAGGAGAACGGGGUCACCUUUCGUGAUAUUUGAGCUCCUAAUGAUUUUUAAUGCUGUUUUAUGGGUUCCCUCACAACAGCCUCAAUUUCGGUUAUACUGUGAAUGAAAGUAAUGCAAGUGCUUUCAUAUUCUCUCUUCAAAAGCAAAACAAAUCUCAUGGAUAAUGUAGGACAAAGUUGUCGCCUUAUGACUGAAACGGAGGAAGAUGUAUAGAAAGUAUGGCUUGGAGAACAAAAAUCAAUGUCUGUAAAAUGUUCAAAGAAGACAAAUACAUUUAUUCUGAAAGCCAAACAAAUGCUUUUUGUAUCAACCAUUUUAACCUUGUCGGUCUAUCUGAUUUAUUGUUAGGUGAGCUGGUUUUCAACUCUUCUUCUUUAUGCUGGUUGUAACAACCGGCCUUUGUUCUCUUUAUGUCUUCUGCUCUUUUGGGCCACACCACCCAGAGUUGUACCAAGUACCAACAGCCUAAAACCAUGUAUAUAAUGCUGCAUUAAGGUAGUGGUUUGAUGUAA